AUUGAACGCUGGCGGCAUGCCUUACACAUGCAAGUCGAACGGUAACGGGCCUUCGGGUGCCGACGAGGGGCGAACGGGUGAGUAAUACAUCGGAACGUGCCCGCUCGUGGGGGAUAACGAGGCGAAAGCUUUGUUAAUACCGCAUACGAUCUACGGUUGAAAGCAGGGGACCGCAAGGCCAUGCUCGGACGGAGCGGCCGACGGCAGAUUAGGUAGUUGGUGGGAUAAAAGCUUACCAAGCCGACGAUCUGUAGCUGGUCUGAGAGGAUGAUCAGCCACACUGGGACUGAGACACGGCCCAGACUCCUACGGGAGGACGCAGUGGGGAAUCUUGGACGAUGGGCGCAAGCCUGAUCCAGCCAUGCCGCGUGCAGGAUGAAGGCCUUCGGGUUGUAAACUGCUUUUGUACGGAACGAAAAGCCUUCUUUUAAUACAGGAGGGUCAUGACGGUACCGUAAGAAUAAGCACCGGCUAACUACGUG
Molecule: ribosomal RNA, 482 nt
Filed under: uncultured bacterium
Lineage: Bacteria
Description: partial 16S ribosomal RNA
Rfam family: Bacterial small subunit ribosomal RNA
Source: RNAcentral